Molecule: long non-coding RNA, 143 nt
Organism: Dermochelys coriacea (leatherback sea turtle)
Lineage: Eukaryota; Metazoa; Chordata; Testudines; Dermochelyidae
Exons: 3
Source: RefSeq, a predicted model, not a curated record
GCUCAAAGCAGAACCAAACUGAUGCAAAGAAUUAAUUUAUCUUCUCCACAACAGUCUUGUCUUCCUUGUGUGCUCCUUUAUCACCUCAAUCAUCCAGUGGCCCCACUGAUUGUUUGGCUGGCUUCCUGUUUCUGAUGCACUUA